GAUGAACGCUGGCGGCGUGCCUAAUACAUGCAAGUCGAGCGAACAGACGAGGAGCUUACUCCUCUGACGUUAGCGGCGGACGGGUGAGUAACACGUGGAUAGCCUACCUAUAAGACUGGGAUAACUUCGGGAAACCGGAGCUAACACCGGAUAACAUGUUGAACCGCAUGGUUCAACAGUGAAAGACGGUCUUGCUGUCACUUAUAGAUGGAUCCGCGUCGCAUUAGCUAGUUGGUAAGGUAACGGCUUACCAAGGCAACGAUGCGUAGCCGACCUGAGAGGGUGAUCGGCCACACUGGAACUGAGACACGGUCCAGACUCCUACGGGAGGCAGCAGUAGGGAAUCUUCCGCAAUGGGCGAAAGCCUGACGGAGCAACGCCGCGUGAGUGAAGAAGGUCUUCGGAUCGUAAAACUCUGUUAUUAGGGAAGAACAAAUGUGUAAGUAACUAUGCACGUCUUGACGGUACCUAAUCAGAAAGCCACGGCUAACUACGUG
This 497-nucleotide ribosomal RNA is filed under the name uncultured bacterium. Its description in RNAcentral is "partial 16S ribosomal RNA". It matches the Rfam family "Bacterial small subunit ribosomal RNA", at positions 28 to 507 of the family's 1533-position model. The record is from RNAcentral.